AUGGCCCCGAAGAGAGAAACGUCUGCAACAGUGGCGCAAGCAUUGCCCCUUCAUCUCCAACACGACCCGUCCGGCUUGCCACUUCAGUACGUGUACGAGUCCUGUCCCAAGCUUCUGCAGCCGGUGACCACUUUUUCAGACGAGUUCCUACAGGAGACGAGGGAAGUGCGGUGGCACGAGAGGGCAGAACGGAUCUCCGAUGAUCAGAAGUGUUGGGCACAGAGUGCGAAGGAGUGGAAGAGAGUGAUUGCAGAGAUGGAGGGAGAUCCAACUAUCUCCCAAGAACGCCGGGAAUGGAACAUUGAAGCUGCCAAGCAGCGCUCCAACUGGGAGCUGCGUAAUUUGGGCUGGAGGAUCUACUUCGAGAGCAAUGCGGAGGAGAGAGUCAGGAUGCCGCCCCCAAGUGCAUCGGCGUUCGAUAUCAUCAACUGGGAAAGGGCGGAGGCGAAAACUCCAGCGGGAAAGGCCAGGUGGGACUGCUUGAACGGUCGGAUGCCGACCAGUGUUCCACCUCCGCCUGAACCGGUGGAUCCGCUGCCGUAUCUGUCUCCACGGCCAUGCCUAACAUACAAGGGGGGGAGGUUUGUCCGCCCCAUAAACAUGUCGAUUGCAUAUGUAUCUCUGUUUUAG
This 630-nucleotide ribosomal RNA is filed under the name Triticum aestivum (bread wheat). RNAcentral describes it as "partial small subunit ribosomal RNA". Lineage: Eukaryota; Viridiplantae; Streptophyta; Magnoliopsida; Poales; Poaceae. The record is from RNAcentral.